This 1161-nucleotide ribosomal RNA is filed under the name uncultured bacterium. RNAcentral's name for it is "bacterial SSU rRNA". It matches the Rfam family "Bacterial small subunit ribosomal RNA", at positions 119 to 1268 of the family's 1533-position model. The record is from RNAcentral.
GGUUAACCUGCCCUGGAGUGGGGGAUAACCUCGGGAAACUGGGGCUAAUACCGCAUAAGACCACGGAGAGGCAUCUCUCAGGGGUCAAAGCCUUCGGGCGCUUCAGGAGGGGAUCAGUCCGUAUCAGGUAGUUGGUGAGGUAACGGCUCACCAAGCCUACGACGCGUAGCCGGUCUGAGAGGAUGGUCGGCCGCACUGGGACUGAGACACUGCCCAGACUCCUACGGGAGGCUGCAGUCGAGAAUCUUUGUCAAUGGGCGCAAGCCUGAACGAGCGACGCCGCGUGUGGGAUGAAGGCCUUCGGGUUGUAAACCACUGUCAGGGGCUAACAAUAAGCGUGUAACUCACGUGAUGAGUUAAACCCCAGAGGAAGUGACGGCUAACUACGUGCCAGCAGCUGCGGUAAUACGUAGGUCACGAACGUUAUUCGGAAUCACUGGGCUUAAAGGGCGCGUAGGCGGCUCAGCAAGUAGAGGUUGAAAUCCGGCGGCUCACCCGUCGAACUGGUCUCUAAACUGCUGGGCUGGAGUCAUGGAGGGGUGCGUGGAACUUGUGGUGGAGCGGUGAAAUGCUCAGAUAUCACAGGGAACACCGGUGGCGAAGGCGACGCACUGGCCAUGUACUGACGCUGAGGCGCGAACAGCCAGGGGAGCGAACGGGAUUAGAUACCCCGGUAGUCCUGGCACGUAAACGAUGCGCAUUAGGGAGAGGGUGUUCCUAGACAUUCUCUCCCCAAGGGAAACGGUUAAAUGCGCCGCCUGGGGGAGUAUGCUCGGCAAGGGUAAAACUCAAAAGGGAAUUGACGGGGGCUCACACAAGCGGUGGAGCAUGUGGUUUAAUUCGAAGCAACGCGAAGAACCUUACCAGGCCUAGACAUCAGGAUGUAACUGCGUGAAAGCGCAGCCAACCCGCAAAAGGAAAAUCCUGUGCAGGUGUUGCAUGGCUGUCGUCAGCUCGUGUCGUGAGAUGUCGGGUUAAGUCCCAUAACGAGCGAAACCCUUACUGCCAGUUGCCAGCGGAUAAUGCCGGGGACUCUGGCGGGACUGCCUCGUAAGACGGAGGAAGGUGGGGACGACGUCAAGUCAUCAUGGCCCUUAUGGCCUGGGCUACACACGUGCUACAAUGGGGCGUACAAAGGGAACCGAGGCCGCGAGGCGGAGG